This is a small nucleolar RNA of Dioscorea cayenensis subsp. rotundata (Guinea yam), 107 nucleotides long. NCBI's taxonomy places the organism in Eukaryota, Viridiplantae, Streptophyta, Magnoliopsida, Dioscoreales, Dioscoreaceae. The record is from RefSeq and is a predicted model, not a curated record.
AAACCAUGAUGAGGGCAUUUUCUCAAAAGGUCGUUGAACCUUUCAUGUGCCUCAAAAAGUAUCCCAAAAUUACCUUGCCUAAACACAGAAAUCUCUUGUCUCAAUCU